This 435-nucleotide ribosomal RNA is filed under the name Mycolicibacterium sp. Its description in RNAcentral is "bacterial SSU rRNA". It matches the Rfam family "Bacterial small subunit ribosomal RNA", at positions 52 to 503 of the family's 1533-position model. Lineage: Bacteria; Bacillati; Actinomycetota; Actinomycetes; Mycobacteriales; Mycobacteriaceae. The record is from RNAcentral.
CACAUGCAGUCGAACGGAAAGGCCCUUCGGGGUACUCGAGUGGCGAACGGGUGAGUAACACGUGGGUGAUCUGCCCUGCACUUUGGGAUAAGCCUGGGAAACUGGGUCUAAUACCGAAUACACCUCGCUGGCCGCAUGGUCUGGUGGGGGAAAGCUUUUGCGGUGUGGGAUGGGCCCGCGGCCUAUCAGCUUGUUGGUGGGGUGAUGGCCUACCAAGGCGACGACGGGUAGCCGGCCUGAGAGGGUGACCGGCCACACUGGGACUGAGAUACGGCCCAGACUCCUACGGGAGGCAGCAGUGGGGAAUAUUGCACAAUGGGCGCAAGCCUGAUGCAGCGACGCCGCGUGGGGGAUGACGGCCUUCGGGUUGUAAACCCCUUUCAGCACAGACGAAGCGCGAGUGACGGUAUGUGCAGAAGAAGGACCGGCCAACUA